Triticum aestivum (bread wheat) is the source of this 3555-nucleotide RNA transcript. RefSeq lists it as uncharacterized. The transcript has 7 exons. NCBI's taxonomy places the organism in Eukaryota, Viridiplantae, Streptophyta, Magnoliopsida, Poales, Poaceae. The record is from RefSeq and is a predicted model, not a curated record.
GCCAAUCCUCUCCUCGCGCGCGGCGUGCUUCGAGUGGGUCGUGGAACCCUAGACCCCUUUCCCCAAUCCCACGGCCACCUCCAUCCUCCCGUGCUCCACCCCGAGCGUGCCCGGGCUCCGCCUCCUCCUCCUCCACCAUCCCUUCUCUUCUCACUCUUCCUCCUGUCGCAGCCGCCUCCUCUUCUCCCUAUCUUCCUCCUCCUCGCCCCACGCGACCCCUCUUGUGCCGCUCGUCUCCACUUCGUUGCCGCCAUAGAUCGAGGAGGACGGCGCGAUGACGACCAUGAUGCAUCGGACAUCCCAGAUCGACGACGCCAUGGAAGCCAUGAGAGCUGGCCGAGGAAGAGGGGGCAGGGCCGCAGGCCAUGAAGGGCAUGGCGGCUGCGGGCGGAAGCAGCAUGGGUUGUAGGAGCGGCGGAUGUGGGCGGGGUCAGAGGUUGGGGAAGACUCGUCGGCUGGGCGACAGCAAGCUUCGGUGAGUGCAAGCAUGCGUUUCUAGAAGCGUCCUCUCCUACAAGGCAGGCAAGGACGACGUCGUCGCCCUCGCAGGUUCUACGAUCUGUUGCAUCUCUUUUCUUCUCGUUAAGGUUAGCUGCUCUAUUUCCUAGGAGAGGGGAGGCGGCCAAUGACAGGGAGAAGGAGCAGGCCGUCGACGAGUGCAAGCAGAAGGAUUAAUUUUGGCCCAUACAGUUUCCGGUGACUGGAAGUCUGAAACUGAUGACAGGGCAUAUUGUUUUGGUUAUGAGUGGUUGGAGAUAUUGUGACUUGAUGUCCCUGGAGCAGUCAGACCCUUCCAAGAUAGGUCGAGCGACGGCGAGCACAUCCGACGGCAACACACCAAGAGACUAGGCGUGGGACUGGUGCUUGGUAGCAGCAGCGAUUCCUUCAGGCAUUUCGAUUCCAGUAACCACAAGUUGUAGGGAAGAUGUAUGUUUCCUACAAAGGGUUUGAGUUUGAGAGGCACAGAAGAAGUUACAAGUGUUGCAGCUUAUUUGGCUUUAUAGUGACAUGUAUCGACAAACAAUUGUUAUAUUCAGUAUGCUAGGGUGUGUCCUAUUUAUCAUGCAGAUUCUAUAUUAGGUGCUCGAUAGAGGUAACAAAAGCUAACAGAGAUCAGAAUAUAUUUUACUUAUAUUUUUGUCUUUCUUUUAGUUCUGUGUAGUCUUUAUUUACCAUGUAAUGAUUAGUUUGAAUGCUUAUAGUGGUGAUACUUUCCCUAUAAAUUUGUUGGGUAGAUUAUAAUUCUGUUACUUGAUUUAGGACAGUAUAUGGUUCUAUGAUACAGGAUUUAGAGGAACAUAUACGGGAUUUAGUUUUUCAGGUCACACUUGUCCCAUAUUCUGUUACUUUCCCUAUUGAUUUUAGCUUGCAAUUGAGUAAGAUGCAGGUUGGGAAUUCUCCCUUGUGUGUCAGAAUCUGAAGUAUUUGACCAUUUGGGUUCACUUCUAUCAUGUGUUGUAUCCUUCCUCUAUUUUAAGAUUUACUAGGCACAUGCAGGUUAGUUGUUGUUUCAAACAUGUCAAUGAAAGGUAAUAAUGUUAAAAUUGGUUCCCCAAGGGCCAAGGUGGUGAUGAUCACUUUGUGAUUCUUUUCCUACUUGUUCUAAAAAUGAUUCUUCUGGGUGAUGUUGAUUUAGGUUUUUGUGGUCGUGUCAUACACCAAUUACCGUCGAGAUGGGUAAUGGUAUGGGAAUGGGGCUCCAAGGAUGUGAAAAUGGUCUGGAAGACAGAGUUAGCAGCGAUAUGUGUCCUCAAGUAAUUUCUUGCCAAAGGUGAUGUGAAGGUUAGCUACUGUGAUCAAGGAAAUAACAUGUAUCUGUGUGGUUUGUUCCUGCUGUUGAUCGGCCAUUGCUGCGUUUAAGGUAUGUUGUGCCCGGUGCUACUUAAUGCUAUAUAAAACCUAUAGCUGUACAUAAAACACCUUGAUAUGCAAAUAACCCAGUUAAAAUAAAUGGGUUGCGCCAUCUAGCAUUACAUGACGACAUGCCAAACACUUUGCCACCUAGGAUAGUCUAUAUUUGUAUUUCAUCCAGUUAUCUCAUAUUUCCAGUAAAAAAACUCUUCGCUUUGGGGUUUUGGAAUAAUCUUCAGGAAGUUGGUGACGAGUUAGUAGAACUUAUAGAAAUGUCGCUUUCAUUAGACAAUGACAUGCCAAAGACGCCAUUGCCUAAGGUAGUCUUUGGACUUAAGCUAUCUCAUAUGUACAAUAACAAGAUUUGUCACUUCAGUUUUUAGAAUAAUCAUUGAUAAGUUGGUUAAGAAUUAGAGCUAAAGUUACGCUCAUGAGUAGUAUUUUUUGUACAAACAUCCAGUUAAUUCUUGAGAUACAAUAGAGACACUAUAUUAGUACUACUUUAGUCAAAUACAUUGUCCACUGGUUGUUGUAGUGAAAUGUCGCUCUAGCUAUUAAUUUACAGAAUUGUAGAAAAUAGCCCCUACGAAAUUACAAAGAGCGAGAAUAAGGAAGCUGGCAAACUUAGUGCUUCAUGGUAUUUCAGUAGAAAUUACAAAGAGCGAGAAUAAGGAAGCUGGCAAACUUAGUGCUUCAUGGUAUUUCAGUAGAAAGGAAAUAGAAGAGAAUUCUCCGUCUAAGAGGGAUGGCAUUGAUUUAAAGAAAGAGACUUACCUUCGGAAAUCGUAUUGCACUUAUCUACAAGAUUUGGGGAUGCGGCUCAAAGUGUAAGAUAUUUUAUGUCCUUCUAUGCAUUUAUCGAUACUGUAGCCUGUUGGCUGACUGUCCCUUACUUAUCCAAAACAUUGAGUUCUGCUACUUACCCAACCAGAUGUUAAAUAUUUCAAAAUGCGUCUUUAUAUUGUCAUUGUAUCGUAAUUGCUUCUCCUGAUGUGUUUUUGUUUUACACCAGCAUAUAUUUGGUCCAGAGAUGUUCAAUUGUUUGUCUGAUAAGAUAAUAUUUUACUUCUUUAUGGAGCACUCUUAUGGCAAGCACAUUUUUUCUGGAUGAACUGCUGGUUGGUUUUUUUCUCCAUAAAUACGAUAAAUUAUCAUAUCAUAUGAAAUGUCAAGAUAUACUGAAAAUAUGCCCUGUAUGAUGGUGGUCUGGCAUUUUAGAAUUGUUUUGGGCAAUUCAUGUUUGUAUGCAUUUUUUCUUUUGGCCCUUGAAGGCAUCUUUAAUAGUUUGCAAUUGCGAUAGAAAUUGCUGUGCUCGUAUCUUUAGUUUUAAUUACAAUUGGUCGAUCUACAACGAGUGCGUCUGAUUCCAACUCAUCAAGGUGAGCUCCCUCUUUUAUUCUUCUCAGGUAAUGAGGCGUCAGUGUAGGCCCAAUCUUUUUGUUUGUUGCUUUGAAGAGUGUUGUCAUGUUGUGGAAAGGCAACAUGUGCUUGAUAUGUGGAGUUGGUGUUGAGCCUGGCGGUAGUAGACAGGGAAGGCACCCAUCUCACUUGAUCUUGAGAGUUGAUUCAUAUCUUUUUUCUUGACCUGAUUGAGUUCCUUAUAUGCAAGGAUAAAGAAGAAGGGGCAUUGUCGUGGUUGUUGCUUAAGGUGUUGGUCAGGAGCUGAUUGCCGGGACUGAUGACAAGAACGGAGAGCAGGAUGAG